Molecule: ribosomal RNA, 499 nt
Filed under: uncultured bacterium
Lineage: Bacteria
Description: partial 16S ribosomal RNA
Rfam family: Bacterial small subunit ribosomal RNA
Source: RNAcentral
GAUGAACGCUGGCGGCGUGCCUAAUACAUGCAAGUCGAGCGAACAGACGAGAGUGCUUGCACUCUCUGACGUUAGCGGCGGACGGGUGAGUAACACGUGGGUAACCUACCUAUAAGACUGGGAUAACUUCGGGAAACCGGAGCUAAUACCGGAUAAUAUUUAGCUUCGCAUGAAGCAAUAGUGAAAGACGGUUCUGCUGUCACUUAUAGAUGGACCCGCGGUGUAUUAGCUAGUUGGUGAGGUAACGGCUCACCAAGGCAACGAUACAUAGCCGACCUGAGAGGGGGAGGGGCAACACUGGAAAUGAGACCGGGCCCAGACUCCGGCGGGAGGAAGAAGUGGGGACUACGCGACAAGGGAGGAAGGUCGGAGGGAGAAAGGCCGCGUGAGUGAAGAAGGUUUUCGGAUCGAAAAACUGUGUUAAAGGGGAAAAAAAAGUAUGUGAUAAACGAAACGUACCUGGACGUUACCUAAAAAAAAAGCCACGGCUAACUCCGUC